This 76-nucleotide transfer RNA is filed under the name bacterium. Its description in RNAcentral is "tRNA-Arg". It matches the Rfam family "tRNA". From Rfam's summary of the family: Transfer RNA (tRNA) molecules are approximately 80 nucleotides in length. RNAcentral also lists the same sequence under 1 other name. The record is from RNAcentral.
GGCCGAUUAGCUCAAUGGAUAGAGCGCCGCCGUCCUAAGGCGGGCGUUGGGGGUUCGAUUCCCUCAUCGGCCACCA